Molecule: ribosomal RNA, 468 nt
Filed under: uncultured bacterium
Lineage: Bacteria
Description: partial 16S ribosomal RNA
Rfam family: Bacterial small subunit ribosomal RNA
Source: RNAcentral
GACGAACGCUGGCGGCGUGCUUAACACAUGCAAGUCGAACGGAAAGGCCCUGCUUUUGUGGGGUGCUCGAGUGGCGAACGGGUGAGUAACACGUGAGUAACCUGCCCUUGACUUUGGGAUAACUUCAGGAAACUGGGGCUAAUACCGGAUAGGAGCUCCUGCUGCAUGGUGGGGGUUGGAAAGUUUCGGCGGGUGGGGAUGGACUCGCGGCUUAUCAGCUUGUUGGUGGGGUAGUGGCCUACCAAGGCUUCGACGGGUAGCCGGCCUGAGAGGGUGACCGGCCACAUUGGGACUGAGAUACGGCCCAGACUCCUACGGGAGGCAGAAGUGGGGAAUAUUGCACAAUGGGCGGGAGCCUGAUGCAGCAACGCCGCGUGCGGGAUGACGGCCUUCGGGUUGUAAACCGCUUUCGCCUGUGACGAAGCGUGAGUGACGGUAAUGGGUGAAGAAGCACCGGCUAACUACGUG